Long non-coding RNA from Labrus mixtus (cuckoo wrasse), 297 nucleotides. RefSeq lists it as uncharacterized. Lineage: Eukaryota; Metazoa; Chordata; Actinopteri; Labriformes; Labridae. The transcript has 2 exons. The record is from RefSeq and is a predicted model, not a curated record.
AGUAGAGAAUGUCUUUAUAUCUUUAAAUAACUCACUUAAAAAUGAUGCUAACUUUGAACAACAAGAUUUGUUGUUUCUUUAUAUUAAUUAAAAACCAGGCUCUAAUGAGAUUGUGAUUUCCCUUUCUUUCCCAACAAACAAUCUACUGAACAUUUUCUUACACAAGCUAAUGUACAGUUUCCUUCACUUCUUUUUUUUCCCCUUCUCCCAGCUAUGGCUUUUAAAAAUGAGUGUUAUGAUUAUAAUUUUCUGGCGUUUGGUUGAUUAAAGCCACCAGUAAGACUAAAAAAAACAAAA